UACGGAGGAUGCAAGCGUUAUCCGGAUUUAUUGGGUUUAAAGGGUGCGCAGGUUGUUUGAUAAGUCAGUGGUGAAAGUCUGUCGCUUAACGGUAGGAUUGCCAUUGAUACUGUUGGACUUGAAUAUGGAUGAGGUAGGCGGAAUGUGUAGUGUAGCGGUGAAAUGCAUAGAUAUCACACAGAACACCGAUUGCGAAGGCAGCUUACUAAUCCAUCAUUGACGCUGAGGCACGAAAGCGUGGGGAUCAAA
RNAcentral lists this ribosomal RNA (249 nucleotides) under uncultured prokaryote. RNAcentral describes it as "partial 16S ribosomal RNA". It matches the Rfam family "Bacterial small subunit ribosomal RNA", at positions 524 to 772 of the family's 1533-position model. The record is from RNAcentral.